AAAUCUGUCUGAACCUAGGGGGACCACCCUCUAAGCCUUAAAUAACUUUUUUUGAUCGAUAGCGCACAAGUACCGUGAGGGAAAGGUGAAAUAAUCCCUUAUAAAGGGUUUGAAAUAGUAUAAAAUUGAGAAUUUACAAGCAGUAGAUUGAUUAAAGAGUUAAGAAAUCUACGUACUUCUUGCAUAACGGAUCAGCGAGUUAGUUUCUAAAACAGGGCUAAGCAGUAAUGUGUAAGCGUAAAGAAAGUAAACCUUAUUCAAAGGAAUAAGAAAAAAGUUUUAGGAAAAAGACCCGAACCUAAGUGAUCUAAGCAUGAGCAGGCUGAAGCUCCACGAAAGUGUAGUGAAGGGCCGAACCCACUACUGUUGCAAUAUUAGGGGAAGACUUGUGCUUAGGGGUGAAAGGCCAAACAAACUUAGAUCUAGCUGGUUCUCCCCGAAAUCUAUUGAGGUAGAGCACUUUUUAUAUUUAUCUUAUGGGGUAGAGCACUUCAUGGGUGUGGGGGGCGUAAAGCUUUACCAUUUCCAAGAAAACUCCGAAUACGUAUAGAUAGAAAAAGCAGACAGGCUCUGGGCGCAAAGGUGCAGAGCCAAGAGGGAAACAGCCCAGACUAUCAGCUAAGGUCUUUAAUCUCUUUCUUAGUGGGAAAGGAAUAAUAUGAGCAAAAUCAAUCUCGAGGUGGUCUUAG
Molecule: ribosomal RNA, 689 nt
Filed under: Chloropicon primus
Lineage: Eukaryota; Viridiplantae; Chlorophyta; Chloropicophyceae; Chloropicales; Chloropicaceae
Description: partial Bacterial large subunit ribosomal RNA
Rfam family: Bacterial large subunit ribosomal RNA
Source: RNAcentral